GAUGAACGCUGGCGGCGUGCCUAAUACAUGCAAGUCGAGCGAACAGACGAGGAGCUUGCUCCUCUGACGUUAGCGGCGGACGGGUGAGUAACACGUGGAUAACCUACCUAUAAGACUGGGAUAACUUCGGGAAACCGGAGCUAAUACCGGAUAAUAUAUUGAACCGCAUGGUUCAAUAGUGAAAGACGGUUUUGCUGUCACUUAUAGAUGGAUCCGCGCCGCAUUAGCUAGUUGGUAAGGCAACGGCUUACCAAGGCAACGAUGCGUAGCCGACCUGAGAAGGUGAUCGGCCACACUGGAACUGAGACACGGUCCAGACUCCUACGGGAGGCAGCAGUAGGGAAUCUUCCGCAAUGGGCGAAAGCCUGACGGAGCAACGCCGCGUGAGUGAUGAAGGUCUUCGGAUCGUAAAACUCUGUUAUUAGGGAAGAACAAAUGUGUAAGUAACUAUGCACGUCUUGACGGUACCUAAUCAGAAAGCCACGGCUAACUACGUG
RNAcentral lists this ribosomal RNA (497 nucleotides) under uncultured bacterium. RNAcentral's name for it is "partial 16S ribosomal RNA". It matches the Rfam family "Bacterial small subunit ribosomal RNA", at positions 28 to 507 of the family's 1533-position model. The record is from RNAcentral.